CAGAACGCAGGCCCCUCAUUGGCCAGAGGGGUCACUAUUGCCCAAUGAGCCUAACCUUGGAACUGCUACCAGGAGCCCUGAGGUAGCUGAAUUCAUCUGAAUCCCAGCUCACUAGAUGAUAUUUUCAAAGACUUGAAAUGGACCUAAACUGGAGGAGAAAAAGAAAGUUUCUUAUCAAUUUUGCAUGACGUAUGAUGGAUGAUCCAGACUGACUGUAAAUACAUA
Long non-coding RNA from Anguilla anguilla (European eel), 225 nucleotides. RefSeq lists it as uncharacterized. The transcript is spliced from 3 exons. NCBI's taxonomy places the organism in Eukaryota, Metazoa, Chordata, Actinopteri, Anguilliformes, Anguillidae. The record is from RefSeq and is a predicted model, not a curated record.